UACGUAGGGGGCAAGCGUUGUCCGGAUUUAUUGGGCGUAAAGAGCGUGUAGGCGGCUUUACAGGUCCGCUGUGAAAACUCGAGGCUCAACCUCGAGCUGUCGGUGGAAACCAUCUGGCUAGAGUCCGGAAGAGGAGUGUGGAAUUCCCAGUGUAGAGGUGAAAUUCGUAGAUAUUGGGAAGAACACCGGUGGCGAAGGCGGCGACCUGGUCCGAUACUGACGCUGAGGCGCGAAAGCGUGGGGAGCAAACAGG
Molecule: ribosomal RNA, 253 nt
Filed under: uncultured bacterium
Lineage: Bacteria
Description: partial 16S ribosomal RNA
Rfam family: Bacterial small subunit ribosomal RNA
Source: RNAcentral